RNAcentral lists this ribosomal RNA (911 nucleotides) under Septoriella hirta. RNAcentral's name for it is "LSU rRNA". It matches the Rfam family "Eukaryotic large subunit ribosomal RNA", at positions 38 to 967 of the family's 3401-position model. Lineage: Eukaryota; Fungi; Ascomycota; Dothideomycetes; Pleosporales; Phaeosphaeriaceae. The record is from RNAcentral.
GCAUAUCAAUAAGCGGAGGAAAAGAAACCAACAGGGAUUGCCCUAGUAACGGCGAGUGAAGCGGCAACAGCUCAAAUUUGAAAUCUGGCUCUUUUAGAGUCCGAGUUGUAAUUUGCAGAGGGCGCUUUGGCGUUGGCAGCGGUCCAAGUUCUUUGGAACAGGACGUCACAGAGGGUGAGAAUCCCGUACGUGGUCGCUAGCCUUCGCCGUGUAAAGCCCCUUCGACGAGUCGAGUUGUUUGGGAAUGCAGCUCUAAAUGGGAGGUAAAUUUCUUCUAAAGCUAAAUACUGGCCAGAGACCGAUAGCGCACAAGUAGAGUGAUCGAAAGAUGAAAAGCACUUUGGAAAGAGAGUCAAAUAGCACGUGAAAUUGUUGAAAGGGAAGCGCUUGCAGCCAGACUUGCCUGUAGUUGCUUAUCCGGACUUUUGUCCGGUGCACUCUUCUGCGGGCAGGCCAGCAUCAGUUUAGGCGGUUGGAUAAAGGUCUCUAUCACGUACCUCCCUUCGGGGUUGGCCUUAUAGGGGAGACGACAUGCAACCAGCCUGAACUGAGGUCCGCGCAUCUGCUAGGAUGCUGGCGUAAUGGCUGUAAGCGGCCCGUCUUGAAACACGGACCAAGGAGUCUAACAUCUAUGCGAGUGUUUGGGUGUCAAGCCCAGACGCGUAAUGAAAGUGAACGGAGGUGGGAACCUUUUAGGUGCACCAUCGACCGAUCCUGAUGUCUUCGGAUGGAUUUGAGUAAGAGCAUGGCUGUUGGGACCCGAAAGAUGGUGAACUAUGCUUGAAUAGGGUGAAGCCAGAGGAAACUCUGGUGGAGGCUCGCAGCGGUUCUGACGUGCAAAUCGAUCGUCAAAUUUGGGCAUAGGGGCGAAAGACUAAUCGAACUAUCUAGUAGCUGGUUCCUGCCGAAGU